AUGGCUCCCCCUACGUCGUCCUCAUCUCCGAUGCCGGUUAUGGACGCACGGAUGAGGCUGAUAAUCCAGGAAGCAGCACUGAUUAGUGUGAUUCAGGCAUGGGUCAUGUUCAUGCACCAAAGAGCUAUUCGUCGUGCUGGGAGACCUUUGAUUCAUUAUGGUCCAUUGUUUUCCCAGGAACAGGAGAGGAUCCAAAAUCUGAACUACAUCUACAACUGCAAUGACGUUGAGGCUCUAUGGAUGCUUAGAAUGAAAAGAGCACCAUUUGCCAGGCUUGUCGAGACCUUCAUGAGCAUGGGGCUGUUACAAGAUAGCAUCAACACCAGUGUCGAAGAGCAAGUGGCCAUGUUCCUCCAUGUUGUUGGCCAUAACCAGAGGUUCAGGGUCAUUCACAACAUCUUCAGGAGAUCAAUGGAGACCAUCUCUAGAUACUUCAAGCAGGUGCUUUUUGCUAUUGGGGAGCUUAGAGGAGAGAUGAUCAGGAGACCAUCUGGCCAGACUCCACCCAAGAUUCGCGGAAGCCCAAGAUGGUAUCCAUACUUCAAGGAUUGCAUUGGGGCAAUA
Molecule: ribosomal RNA, 564 nt
Filed under: Triticum aestivum (bread wheat)
Lineage: Eukaryota; Viridiplantae; Streptophyta; Magnoliopsida; Poales; Poaceae
Description: partial small subunit ribosomal RNA
Source: RNAcentral